CCGGGUGAGUAACACGUAGGUAAUCUACCUUUGGGUGGGGGAAUAACAACCGGAAACGGUUGCUAAUACCGCAUAAUGCAGCGGCAUCGCAAGAUGACAGUUGUUAAAGAUUUAUCGCUUGAAGAGGAGCUUGCGGCAGAUUAGCUAGUUGGUAAGGUAAUGGCUUACCAAGGCUACGAUCUGUAACCGGUCUAAGAGGACGGUCGGUCACACUGACACUGAAUAACGGGUCAG
RNAcentral lists this ribosomal RNA (234 nucleotides) under uncultured bacterium. RNAcentral's name for it is "partial 16S ribosomal RNA". It matches the Rfam family "Bacterial small subunit ribosomal RNA", at positions 103 to 334 of the family's 1533-position model. The record is from RNAcentral.